AUGGUUCCUCUAACGGUGUCUCCGGUGGUUCUUCUGAUGGUGUCUCCGAGGGUACGUCCGAUGGUUCCUCCGGUGGUAUCUCCACCGGUUCCUCCGAUGGUGUCUCCAACGCUACGUCCGAUUGUACCUCCGGUGUCAUCACCCGUGGUGUUUCCGAUGGUUCCUCCGAUGGUUCCUCUGAUGGUUCCUCCGAUGGUUUCUCCAAUGGUUCCUCUGAUGGUUCCUCCGAUGGUUCCUCCGAUGGUUCCUCCGAUGGUACCUCCAACACUACGUCCGAUGGUACCUCCGUUGACAUCUCCGGUGGCACCGCCGGUUGUAGCUCUGGUGGUUGUCACCUGCCUGAUGUCCCUCACGGUUGUAGCUCUGGUGGUUGCACCUCUGGUGGUUGUACCUCUGGUGGUGGCAGCUCUGGUGGCUGUAGAUCUGGUGGCUGUAGAUCUGGUGGUUGUAGAUCUGGUGGUGACCAAUGGUUGGGUGGUGAUACCUUUGGCGACGUCUCCGGCGGUACCUCUGCUGGUUGUACCCUUGCUGGUUGUACCUCUGCUGGUUGUCACCAGGCCGACGGCAACACCAGUGGUGGCACCUCUGGUGGCGGCACCUCUGGUGGUGGCACUUCUGGUGGUGGCACCUCUGGUGGCCACCACAGCUCCGACGGUGCUUUUGGAGGUGUCCACCACAACCGCGGUACCUCCGGUGGUUGUCACCGUUUCAGAGGUGUCCAUCAUGGUGGUGGCGUCUCCGGUGGCUUUGGACGCAGCCCUGGUGGUGGUGGCACCUCGGGAACGGGUGACGGUGACACCUCGGGAACGGGUGGUGGUGGUGGUGGUGGUGGCACCUCGGGACCGGGUGACGGUGACAGCUUUGGGUGUUCUGGAGGUGACGGCCACAGCUGCUCCGGUGGCAUCGGAGAUGGACGUGGUGACGGUGGAACCUCUGGACCUGGUGGAGGUGACACCGGUGGAGGUGACACCGAUGGUUGGGGUGACACCGGUGGAGGUGACACCGGUGGAGGUGACACUGAUGGUGGAGGUGACGUUGGUGGAGGUGACACUGAUGGUUGGGGUGACACCAAUGGAGGUGACAUCGGUUGGGGUGACACCGGUGGAGAUGACAUCGGUUGGGGUGACACCAAUGGAGGUGACACCAAUGGUUGGGGUGACACCAGUAGAGGUGACACCAAUGGCUGGGGUGACACCGGUGGAGGUGACACCGAUGGUUGGGGUGACACCGACGGAGGUGACAUUGGUUGGGGUGACACCGGUGGAGGUGACACCAAUGGUUGGGGUGACACUGGAGGACCUGCAGCGGGAGCUGGUGGCGGUGACACCGGGUGACACGGCGGUGGGACAGCGGUGGCAGCGCCGUGGCUUCUUGUAG
This 1377-nucleotide long non-coding RNA is filed under the name Chrysolophus pictus (golden pheasant). Its description in RNAcentral is "lncRNA (ENSCPIG00010007671.1)". Lineage: Eukaryota; Metazoa; Chordata; Aves; Galliformes; Phasianidae. The record is from RNAcentral.